GUUGCCACCAUGACAGGACCAAGUUUGCCAAAGAUUGGUUGGAGGGAAUAAUUACCACCUCUUUCCCAAUACAGUGCCUCCUGUGGCCACUCUAAGCCAGGCCUGGGCACAGCGAGUAUACUAUGUAGGCACCUGUCUACAAGUCACGUGACACCUCCAGCAGCAUCUGCGGACAAGUGUUCAGAUACUGUACUGAUGGAGAUGUCCUUAGAACUGAGCUAGAGUUAGGGUCUGGCUGUCCCACAGUCCCCGUUUUUCCCCUUCCCUCACAGAUGGGUCACGGGAUGAAGAUCGUCCCACAGUCUCUGUCUCCCAGCCUGUGGGAGGCUCAGAAGAGCCCUAUAGGGAACAAGGUCUCUGUGGCUGUCAGAAUGGAAGAAUGGCACUUCAGGGAUUAGGGUAUAUCAAGCCUCUGCCUUGAUAUUCUCUCUCCUCUGUCCUCUGUCCUCUGUCCUCUGUCCUCUCUCCCCUGUCCCCUGUCCCCUCUCUCCUCUCUCCUCUCUCCCCUCUCCCCUGUCCCCUCUCUCCUCUCUCCUCUCUCCUGUUUCCCCUCUCCCCUCUCCCCUGUCCCCUCUCUCCUCUCUCCUCUCUCCCGUUUCCCCUCUCCCCUCCCCCUUCCCCCUCCCCCUUCCCCCUGUUCCCUGUCCCCUCUUCUCUCUCUCUCUCUCUCUCUCUCUCUCUCCCUCCCUCCCUCCCUCCCUCCCUCUCCCUUCUCCACAGCUGCUAUGUUGUCAGGAUCAUGUGAUGUGAGGAUCGUGCCUUCAGCUAAGACCCCAGUAAACCUGGGAGCCCAUAGCUGGCUGUAGUUCUUGCCAACACCUACUCCAAGCUCAUGAAAUGUCCCAAGCCACAGCCACCUGCUCAUCUCCAAGUCCCUGCCUGACUCUAGGAGUUACUGUCGUGCUAAUCUAUCAUUCUUCUCCUCCUUUUAGCAUUAUUCCUUCCAACCAAUCUUUGGCAAACUUGGUCCUGUCAUGGUGGCAACUUCUUUCCAUUGGACUGACACGAUUAGAAGCAAACAUAAAAAUACCUACCCUGCGCCCGGCAGUGGUGGUGCAGGCCUUUAAUCCCAGAGUUUGGGAGUCAGAAGCAGGGGGAUCUCUGUGAGUUUGAGGCCAGCCUGGUCUACAGAGUGAGUUUCAGGACAGCCAGGGCUACACAGGGAAACCUUGUCUCAAACAAACAAAACCAAACAAACAAAAGCAGAUUCUGGGCCAGAGAUGGCUCGGUGGGUAAAACACUUUCCACGAAAGCCUGAAGAUUUGAGUUCAGUCCCUCAAGUACAUGGUGGGAGAGACAACCAUCCUGUGCGUUACUCUUUGAUCCCCACCCAUUCACUGUGACCUGUAAGUACACUCACACUCACACUCACACACACGUAUGCACACGCAUAAUAAUAAUAAUAAUAAUAAUAAUAAUAAUAAUCCCUGCUAAUAUUACAGAACAGCCAGCUAAAGAGACACUGCAGUCACUGGCCUUUCAGUUAAUCCUAUACUGCGUUUCAUAUAUGGGAAGCCAAACACAGAGACAGUGAAACCUGAGUGUAGGGUGUGUUGCGCUCAUCAUAGAAGGUUCUAGAUGUGACUGUGAGGAGCCUUCUUCAGUCCCCUGGACCACAGUUUUACCACUUCAAUAAUGAGGCCGCAGAAUAAUACCUUUUUUUUUUUUUUUUUUUUGGAGACGGAGUUUCUCUGUGUAGCUCUGGUUGGUCUAGAACUAGCUCUGUGGACCAGGCUGUCCUCAGACUCUCAGAGUUCCACCUGCUUCUGCCUCCCAAACACUGGGAUUAAAGGUGUGCCACUGGUGACCUAAAGAUGUCCCCUUAUGCCAGCUACAAAGGUAACAAUGGUGCCUCUAAGGAAAAACAACCUAUGAGGAGAAGAUGUUAGGCAGACCCAUGUGUGUGUGGGUACAGACCCAAACGAGAAGUAAAGUCAGUUGCAGCCAUUUCCUGGAGGUCUAGAGAAAAGACUGAUUAGGUCCCAUCUCCUCACCACAACAGACGCUGCCGCUCUGGUGGUCGGGCCAGCAUCCUGCCUCAGAACUUCUUAGGUUCCACACUACACAGGUCCUGCUCUCCCCGAAGGCCCUGUGUCAAGCUAAAUAUGAGACCUGUCCUUUGUCUUCUGGGCCUCAGUCUCUGCACGCCAUCCACAGGGCACUCAGCCGUGGUGGGACAUUGACGACAGGCUCCCAGCGACGGCCACGCUGCGCAGCAAGCAGCUGCCUGUCACAGAGUAGCAUUGUCACCCACUCCUGGCUCCUUCUACCCAUUUGUCCUUACAAUGGUUCCCCUUCCUGUGGCUGAGAAGGCUUACUGAAAACAAUAAAGGAGGGUUGUGUUGGUCUGAACCCCUCCCUACUGAGCAAUCCCAGCAUACACAGUUGGUCUGUUUUUACAAGUCAGAUCAGCCUCAUCAUUCCUUGAGAGCCCCUCCCCCUCACUUCCGGAUUGCCUUGAUGGUCUGGAUUCCAUUUGCUGCAUAGCAGGACAAGGUUGGCUCUCUGCACACCUCGCCCCAAAACUUGGCUGUGGCGCCACACCUGUACAUCUAAACCCUUUGAAGACACCUUCAUUUCAUGAGCUCAGGGCUCCUGUAGUUUGGGGUUAUCUCUGGAACUCCUUCGGCCUAUUUCAAGAGUGUCCUCCCUGUUCCAGCGCAGGCGCAGAAGCGCCUGAAGCACAGGAAACCUUGUGGCAGACAGCAUGUGGGAGCGGCAAGACCUGGCCCAGCGUAGAUGAUGCUAACACCAAGUGUGAAGAGUUUGCCUUUGUGGUGGCCAUGGAAGGACAGGAACCAAGAGGAUGGGCCAGUGGGAAGAAGCUGUGGGCACGGGCACCCCCGUCUGCACUCCUCAGAGUGGGGCCGGUGCUGGCCGACCAGCCUUCCCCGUGCAUAGAGCUAAGGAGCCAGGAGACCAGAACACACGGGCUCUGGCCUCCACCCAGCAGACAGGAGUCAGAGCAAGUUCAUCACUGCUGGCCCAGCUUCCCACAGAAACCAUCAUGGCUCAUUUCCCACGCACCGCACGUCUCAGAGCAGCCUAGGUGGAAACUUAACUUGAGACAUCUCCUUGCUUCCUUGUUCCUCUUGGCACCUGGGUUGUCUCAGUCCCAGCCCCAAAUUCCUACUGGGCUGGCACCCUCCAGGAUUAGAUUCACCCAGCGUGCCCCAAAGCCUGACGACUGAGCAGGAAGAGACUGGCCAGGCUGGUAGACCUGGAGCGGGGAGCAUCUGCCCCCACUCUGGCCUCCGGUCGCACAGCGGAAGACUCUAGCUAUGGAGACCUCUCUGACCCUUGAACCAAAGCAGCUCCCACAUACAGAGCUCCUAAGAUCAAGAGUCAGACUGCCGGGGCUGGAGAGGUGGCUCAGCGGUUAAGAGCACUGACUGCUCUUCCAGAGGUCCUGAGUUCAAAUCCCAGCAACCACAUGGUGGCUCACAACCAUCUGUAAUGAGAUCUGAUGCCCUCUUCUGGUGUGUCGGAAGACAGCUACAAUGUACUCAUAUAUAAUAAAUAAAUAAAAUAUUAAAAAAAAAAAAA
This is a long non-coding RNA of Rattus norvegicus (Norway rat), 3546 nucleotides long. RefSeq lists it as uncharacterized. The record is from RefSeq and is a predicted model, not a curated record. NCBI's taxonomy places the organism in Eukaryota, Metazoa, Chordata, Mammalia, Rodentia, Muridae.